AGAAGAUAGAACAGAAAGGAGGGGUUUGUGUAGGUGGAGAUCAACCAAUAUCUGUCCAUAUAGAGGAAAAGAAUGGAUGUUUGUGUUGGAGUUGACACAUGCUUCAUCUGUAGCUUUCACAGGGUGACUCUAAUUCAAGGAAAGAGAAAAGUUAAGGCUUAAUCAGAUGUGCAAUUAACCCCUGGCAUCUGGCUAGGUUAGGUUAGGGUUAAAUCAAUUUAAAUAGUCCACAAAGGUGGAUUAGGGCGCACUGGCAUACAGGGGUUAAUAUUGCAGUUUGUCUGAUAAAUUUCCUGCUUAUUUAUGUUAAGAUGUUCCUUAGCUUGUUGUCCGGUGAGUAAACCUUUGUAUUUUUUUCUCUUUCUUUUUAUCUAGGAUGGAGCAGUGUGAUGACGGCAGAGAGGGAGAAGAAGGAGGAGGAGGAGGAGGAGGUGGUCCACCCCUGGAUUGAGGCCUUCUGGCUCCGGCUGCCACCUAUGCAGAACAAAUGACAAUAAGAGGACAAGUGCCAACAUCAGGUAAGUAUAAAGUUCAUGCAAGUGAAGAAUAAAUUAGAGUAGAUUAUUAAGGGGGGGAAAAAA
Molecule: long non-coding RNA, 581 nt
Filed under: Betta splendens (Siamese fighting fish)
Lineage: Eukaryota; Metazoa; Chordata; Actinopteri; Anabantiformes; Osphronemidae
Description: lncRNA (ENSBSLG00000006842.1)
Source: RNAcentral